RNAcentral lists this ribosomal RNA (45 nucleotides) under Lophiostoma neomuriforme. Its description in RNAcentral is "Sigarispora muriformis partial 28S ribosomal RNA". The record is from RNAcentral. Lineage: Eukaryota; Fungi; Ascomycota; Dothideomycetes; Pleosporales; Lophiostomataceae.
AAUUGACCUCGGAUCAGGUAGGGAUACCCGCUGAACUUAAGCAAU